GGGGCGAGUCGUCCACAGGUCACCAGAAAAUAAUUAUAUCACCGUCGUCGCAGAAGGCGACGAGAAUGUGGAAAUAAAAAUAAGAAAAAGGGGAAACAACAAGAAAAGUGCGAGAGAUAAUCAGAAGACGGGAGAAUUCUGUGGAUCACCAUUCGGAUGCGCUGAUCCAUAAAAGUGUCGCCGUGAUCCAGACGAUUUCGGAAACCCUCCGCGACCGGGAGGUGGCGGUCGCGAAUCAGGAGAGAGAGGUAACAAAGCGAGAGACCCUUCUUCUACGGGCCGUCAUUGGUGAAGACCUCCAGGAGGAGUCGGCGGCAGAGGAGGCGGAGGAGGAGGUGGGCGCGAGAGUGGACCAGGGGAGGGAAGUCGCCGCGGAGGGGCGAGUCGUCCACAGGUCACCAGAAAAUAAUUAUAUCACCGUCGUCGCAGAAGGCGACGAGAAUGUGGAAAUAAAAAUAAGAAAAAGGGGAAACAACAAGAAAAGUGCGAGAGAUAAUCAGAAGACGGGAGAAUUCUGUGGAUCACCAUUCGGAUGCGCUGAUCCAUAAAAGUGUCGCCGUGAUCCAGACGAUUUCGGAAACCCUCCGCGACCGGGAGGUGGCGGUCGCGAAUCAGGAGAGAGAGGUAACAAAGCGAGAGACCCUUCUUCUACGGGCCGUCAUUGGUGAAGACCUCCAGGA
This 680-nucleotide long non-coding RNA is filed under the name Neodiprion pinetum (white pine sawfly). Its description in RNAcentral is "uncharacterized LOC124221906". Lineage: Eukaryota; Metazoa; Arthropoda; Insecta; Hymenoptera; Diprionidae. The record is from RNAcentral.